GAUCCCAAUGCACUAAUUAGAUGUGCUAAAGAUAUAGACCCUUCAAUUAUGUAUAGUAAAAAUGGCUUCUCAUAUCCUAUUCUAGUUUAUCAAAGCAUUUACAUUGUACGCUGAGAUUCCUAGAGGGCCAGUUAUAUGAGAACUGGAAUGAAUUUGCCACAAAACUCCACUCGGCAACACGUAGUCCAUGCUCAUAUGAUUCACAUUGAUUGAGUGGUUUAUCAUGUACCCAUAAGUAACACAUUUGUCUUGUGCCUUCUGAAUAUGGCAUUGGCAAUAUCAAUCUCUAGUCAACACCAUAAAAGUAAUGUUUUUCUGUAUGCCUGUGAUUCAAUGACAUUUGCAUGGAAGAAAAAAUAAUUCAAAUACCCAACAGACAUCUUCAUCAGAAUCCACAUCAAAGAUUUACUACUAAAAGUCUUUGUUUUG
Molecule: unclassified non-coding RNA, 429 nt
Filed under: Hevea brasiliensis (rubber tree)
Lineage: Eukaryota; Viridiplantae; Streptophyta; Magnoliopsida; Malpighiales; Euphorbiaceae
Source: RNAcentral